Molecule: ribosomal RNA, 177 nt
Filed under: Toxocara canis (dog roundworm)
Lineage: Eukaryota; Metazoa; Nematoda; Chromadorea; Rhabditida; Toxocaridae
Description: 5.8S ribosomal RNA
Rfam family: 5.8S ribosomal RNA
About the family: 5.8S ribosomal RNA (5.8S rRNA) is a component of the large subunit of the eukaryotic ribosome.
Source: Rfam by way of RNAcentral
AAAUCUUAGCGGUGGAUCACUAGGUUGAAGAAUCGAUGAAGAAUGCAGUGGAUCGAUGAAGAACGCAGCUAGCUGCGAUAAAUAGUGCGAAUGGCAGACAUAUUGAGCACUACUAACAUUUCGAACGCACAUUGCGCCAUCGGGUUCAUUCCCGUUGGCACGUCUGGCUGAGCGUUU